This 497-nucleotide ribosomal RNA is filed under the name uncultured bacterium. RNAcentral describes it as "partial 16S ribosomal RNA". It matches the Rfam family "Bacterial small subunit ribosomal RNA", at positions 28 to 507 of the family's 1533-position model. The record is from RNAcentral.
GAUGAACGCUGGCGGCGUGCCUAAUACAUGCAAGUCGAGCGAACAGACGAGGAGCUUGCUCCUCUGACGUUAGCGGCGGACGGGUGAGUAACACGUGGAUAACCUACCUAUAAGACUGGGAUAACUUCGGGAAACCGGAGCUAAUACCGGAUAAUAUAUUGAACCGCAUGGUUCAAUAGUGAAAGACGGUUUUGCUGUCACUUAUAGAUGGAUCCGCGCCGCAUUAGCUAGUUGGUAAGGUAACGGCUUACCAAGGCAACGAUGCGUAGCCGACCUGAGAGGGUGAUCGUCCACACUGGAACUGAGACACGGUCCAGACUCCUACGGGAGGCAGCAGUAGGGAAUCCUCCGCAAAGGGCGAAAGCCUGACGGAGCAACGCCGCGUGAGUGAUGAAGGUCUUCGGAUCGUAAAACUCUGUUAUUAGGGAAGAACAAAUGUGUAAGUAACUAUGCACGUCUUGACGGUACAUAAUCAGAAAGCCACGGCUAGCUACGUG